UUCACCAUUAAAUUUUUCGGUGGCAACUGGGGUGGCAAGAGCUAUUUUUAGGGUGGCAGUUGCCACCCCAUGCCACCCCAGUAGAUCCGCCCCUGUCCAUGU
Thalassophryne amazonica is the source of this 102-nucleotide long non-coding RNA. RefSeq lists it as uncharacterized. NCBI's taxonomy places the organism in Eukaryota, Metazoa, Chordata, Actinopteri, Batrachoidiformes, Batrachoididae. The record is from RefSeq and is a predicted model, not a curated record. The transcript has 3 exons.